UUUCAGUCCGCCAGCUCCUGACAGCUCGAAUCAAAUGUCUGCCCAAACCUGGAUGGCCCAAGGAGCUGGCAUGGCUGAGGCACAGCUUGGAGCAGCUGGAGCGAUGCGGUGAGCAUCACAUCGAGGAUUCACCGGCCUGAUUUAUGAGGUACCCCUGACAGCCCGGUGACUGGGGGAAGCACGAGUCCAAGCUGACACCAGCUCCCCAGGAAAAAAAAAAAAAAAAAAACAAACAUCGCCGUGUCCUUGUCAGUGCCAGGCCCUCACCUGACCAUCCUCCUCCCUCCAUAUCACGAGGUUUUUACACAGGCUGGAGCCAAGCAGCCGGAGCAGAGAGGACAAAAAGGAUCCUCAGGCACCAGCCACCUGGAGCCGUGCUCCUAUUUUCUCCAUAAAAUUUGGAGAAAUCCCUCUGAACACAGUUUAAACCGAGAUGCUUGGUUAAUCCCCCUGCUAAAGCACCUCAGCGCAUGCCCUGGCUUAUUUUUUACCUUAGCUUUGUAUUUUCAGCUGCUCGGGUUUCACCUCAGUCACUUGAGGCUCUGUGUGAAGGUGCGUGAGGACGGCCAGGAGCAUCCAAAUGGAGGCCCCCAGACGCGAGCGUUUCUCCCUUAACCUUCUUGCACCAUCGGGAAUAAUAAUUCCUCGCAGGGCUGUUGCACAGCUUGAUUCAUUAAGGCUUAUGAAGUGCUUUUAGCUCCUGCACUGGAAGGCUCUGUGCGAGUUAUUUUGGACUGCUCAGGUGUUAGGAGCCGAGGCACUGCAGCAGGAAUACAAAUAAAUCAAGAAGCGAAGCUGCCCCCUUCCCGCAUGCAGCCCCUGCCCCCCACUGUUCUCCAUCACUGCUGGUGUCAAACAGUUAAUUUACAAGCCCAGCACUUUACAAAGCCCCUGGAGCACCAAUUGUCCCUUUCUCAUGCAACAUCAGCUCCUCAAAAAAGCCAGCUGAGUCUCCGGGGUCACCCCGCUCCUGCCCUUCCCAAGCCCCUAUCCAAAACCACCCGAAUAUUUAUUUCAAGCAAGCCCAGUCCAGCAUCACCCCUGUACAGCAUGAUGCUGGAAGUGCUGAAAUAACUCUGGAGGAAGGGGUGGACGCAGUCAGGGCUCUGAUCUGUGCCUUCUUGGGGAGGCAAUAUUCAAUCGGCAAAGGUGACCCAGAUACUCUAACGGGGCCACAGCCUGCCCACGAGCUGCUGCAGCAAGGCAGCAUCCCCAUGCCAGAGCCAGGCAUGGACAGAGCAGCUCUCAGGCCAGCAGGACAAACCGAGAGAGCACAGGGAAAAGAAGCAGGCUUGUGGCUUGGAAAGGUAAAGGCUCUGCAAGUCUCACAUGGCUUUUUUUUUUUCCCUCCCUCCCUCUGUCUCCCUCCCCUCCUCCAGUCUGUUGCACCGGAGCUGUCGGCCAUGCUGUUCCAGUUCAGGGGCUCCUGCAACAGAAAAGAUCAGCUGUUGGAGAACCCAUGGAAAGCCCUGGGGGAGAGCCAUGGCCGCAAGGUGGCUCGGAGUAAGGCGCAGCCGCG
This 1519-nucleotide long non-coding RNA is filed under the name Anas platyrhynchos platyrhynchos (common mallard). Its description in RNAcentral is "lncRNA (ENSAPLG00000026846.1)". The record is from RNAcentral. Lineage: Eukaryota; Metazoa; Chordata; Aves; Anseriformes; Anatidae.